GGAUAGUUAGCUCAGGGGUAGAGCACUGCCUUCACACGGCAGGGGUCACUGGUUCGAUCCCAGUACUGUCCACCA
RNAcentral lists this transfer RNA (75 nucleotides) under Betaproteobacteria bacterium. RNAcentral's name for it is "tRNA-Val". It matches the Rfam family "tRNA". From Rfam's summary of the family: Transfer RNA (tRNA) molecules are approximately 80 nucleotides in length. Their secondary structure includes four short double-helical elements and three loops (D, anti-codon, and T loops). Lineage: Bacteria; Pseudomonadati; Pseudomonadota; Betaproteobacteria. The record is from RNAcentral.